RNAcentral lists this ribosomal RNA (253 nucleotides) under uncultured bacterium. RNAcentral describes it as "partial 16S ribosomal RNA". It matches the Rfam family "Bacterial small subunit ribosomal RNA", at positions 524 to 776 of the family's 1533-position model. The record is from RNAcentral.
UACGUAGGGGGCAAGCGUUGUCCGGAAUUACUGGGCGUAAAGCGCGCGUAGGCGGCUUUGCAAGUCGAGUGUGAAAUCCCCAGGCUUAACCUGGGAACUGCAUUCGAGACUGCAUAGCUAGAGUAUGGGAGAGGGAAGUGGAAUUUCAGGUGUAGCGGUGAAAUGCGUAGAUAUCUGAAGGAACAUCAGUGGCGAAAGCGGCCUUCUGGGCAUUUCCUGACGCUGAGGCGCGAAAGCGUGGGGAGCAAACAGG